Molecule: ribosomal RNA, 253 nt
Filed under: uncultured bacterium
Lineage: Bacteria
Description: partial 16S ribosomal RNA
Rfam family: Bacterial small subunit ribosomal RNA
Source: RNAcentral
UACGUAGGGUGCGAGCGCUACUCGGCAUUACUGGGCGUAAAGCGUGCGCAGGCGGUUUCGUAAGACAGGUGUGAAAUCCCCGGGCUCAACCUGGGAACUGCGCUUGUGACUGCGAGGCUAGAGUGUGUCAGAGGGAGGUGGAAUUCCACGUGUAGCAGUGAAAUGCGUAGAGAUGUGGAGGAACACCGAUGGCGAAGGCAGCCUCCUGGGAUAACACUGACGCUCAUGCACGAAAGCGUGGGGAGCAAACAGG